CGUGGAUGCUUUAAAAUAGAUGAAAGUCUUUGAAGUUCGCCGUUAGUCAAAACUUGCAAAUAAAUAGCUAUGAUUUCUGAUUGCAAUGGUCAAACGGG
Long non-coding RNA from Cotesia glomerata, 98 nucleotides. RefSeq lists it as uncharacterized. NCBI's taxonomy places the organism in Eukaryota, Metazoa, Arthropoda, Insecta, Hymenoptera, Braconidae. The record is from RefSeq and is a predicted model, not a curated record. The transcript has 3 exons.